AUUGAACGCUGGCGGCGGGCCUAACACAUGCAAGUCGAGCGGAUGAAGGGAGCUUGCUCCUGGAUUCAGCGGCGGACGGGUGAGUAAUGCCUAGGAAUCUGCCUGGUAGUGGGGGAUAAUGUCCGGAAACGGGCGCUAAUACCGCAUACGUCCUGAGGGAGAAAGUGGGGGAUCUUCGGACCUCACGCUAUCAGAUGAGCCUAGGUCGGAUUAGCUAGUUGGUGGGGUAAAGGCCUACCAAGGCGACGAUCCGUAACUGGUCUGAGAGGAUGAUCAGUCACACUGGAACUGAGACACGGUCCAGACUCCUACGGGAGGCAGCAGUGGGGAAUAUUGGACAAUGGGCGAAAGCCUGAUCCAGCCAUGCCGCGUGUGUGAAGAAGGUCUUCGGAUUGUAAAGCACUUUAAGUUGGGAGGAAGGGCAGUAAGUUAAUACCUUGCUGUUUUGACGUUACCAACAGAAUAAGCACCGGCUAACUUCGUG
Molecule: ribosomal RNA, 484 nt
Filed under: uncultured bacterium
Lineage: Bacteria
Description: partial 16S ribosomal RNA
Rfam family: Bacterial small subunit ribosomal RNA
Source: RNAcentral